UGAGCGCCAAGGCUAUGGAAGCCUCUUGAGUUCACAAACACUGAGCUUAUUUAAACAAGGCCAUAGUCAAAGUGGAAGUUCUCUCCUUCCUUCAGAGAAAGUAGCCGGAGAGGUCUGCUAUCCCUGACUACACAGAUCAAAGAUGUGAGUGGGUUGAGCUAUGAGGCAGAUUGCAUUUCCUGCACCCCAGUUGGCAUGCUCUUCACUUCACAAUGGAAUGGUGAGCUCCUGCUCUGACAGCCCUUUGUGACAUCCAAGGAAGCCCAGCCCCCACAGAAGCUGUGCUAGGUGUGUUAGACAACGGCUUUGCUGACAUGCCAGCCCAUAGCCAGAAUCAAUGCAGCAUGUGAAUGAGGAAGAUGACUCCAAGACCAGAGGCCAUCAAACUACACGAGAAAAAAGCUGCAAGAGGCAUUUGCUCCAAGCAAACCCCCAGAACUUUUUGAAGACAGAUGAAGGGAGCCGAGAGCUAAGGAACAUGGACUUUGGGAGGUGGGAAAUGCAUGGAAACAGCUGCUCCUCCACAGCCCCCAGAAAGUAACACAGCUGCCCAGGGGGACCUGUGUCAGACUUUCAACUCCAGAGAGUCAAGUAAAUAAAUAAGAAUAAAAAUUAAAAUUGUGUGAGAAGCAAGCAGCUUUUAUCCCUUCUGAUAAAUGCUGUGUUGAGAUGCUGUGUAUUAUGAGAAGAGAGAGAGCAAUACCAGCUAUAAUUAUUCACUGUGGCUCUGAGGUAACACUAUAAUCACCAAAUACAAAACUUAGCUAUAAACCCAAGGAGCAGAGUGAAAUCUGGUAGAAACGUCUAUCUUACUGUACAGAUUCUCGUCAUUUUCAGGUUUGGUCCUUUUGAAGCAUCAUGCAAUAGCCAGGACAAUUUAUUUUCUCAUUUACAAAUGACUAACCUGUAUCUCUGAAGGAAACAACACCCAUGAGGACCCUGACAUCCCAGGAAACACCCAUGCAACCCUGGCAUCGCUGGAAACACCCAUGGGGACCGACCCUGGCAUCCCAGGAAACAACACCCAGGCAGACCCAGGCAUCCCUAGAAACAACACCAAGCAGACCCUGAAAUCCUAGGAAACAACACCCACACAGACCCUGUCAUCCCAAGAAACAAACCCACGCAGACUCUGGCAACCCAGGAAACAACACCCACGCAGAGCUUGACAUCCCAGGAAAGAAUACAUACAUGAACCAAGACAACCCAGGAAACAAUACCCAUACAGACCCUGGCAUCCCAGGAAACAACACCCAUGAGACCUUAGCAGACCUGGAAACAACACCAACGUGGAACCUGGUAUCCCAGGAAACAACACCCACGCAGACCCUGACAUCCCAGGAAACACCACCCACAUGAACCCUGGCAUCCAAGGAAAAAACACCCACGCAGACCCUGGCAUCCCAGGAAACAACACACAUGCAUACCCUGUCAGACCCUGGAAACAACACCAACAUAGAACCUGUCAUCCCAGGAAACAACACCCAUGCAGACCCUGACACCCCAGGAAACAACACACACACGAACCCUGGCAUCCCAGGAAAAAACACCCAUGCAGACACUGGCAUUUCUGGAAGCAACACACACGCAGACCUUGGCAUCCCAGGAAACAACAAUCACACGGAUCCUGGCAUCCCAGGAAGCAACACCCAUGCAGACCCUGGCAUCCCUGGAAACAACACCCACACAGACCCUGGCAUCCCAGGAAACAACACCCAUGCAGACACUGUCAUCCCAGGAAAGAACAUACACAGGGACCCUAGUAUCCCAGGAAACAACACCCACAUGGACCCUGGCAUUCCUGGAAACAACACCCACAUGGACCCUGGCAUCCUAGGAUACAACAUCCAUGCAGACCCUGGCAUCCCUGGAAACAACACCCACGCAGACCCUGGCAUACCAGCGAACAACACCCACACGGAUCCUGGCAUCCCAGGUAACAACACCCACACAGAUCCUGGCAUCCCAGGAAACAACACCCAUACAGACCCUGGCAUACCAGUGAACAACACCCAUACGGAUCCUGGCAUCCCAGGUAACAACACCCACACGGAUCCUGGCAUCCCAGGAAACAACACCCACACAGACCCUGGCAUCCAUCAAAAAGCACCUAUGCGGACCCUGGCAUCCCAGGAAACAACACCCACACAGACCCUGGCAUCCCUGGAAAGAACACCCACAUGGACCUUGGCUUCCUAGGAAACUACACCCACGCAGACCCUGGCAUCCCAGGAAACAACAUCUGGAGACCCUGAUCUUCCCAGAAAUAAAACCCAUCCAGACAAUGUCUUCUCAGAAACAACAUACUUGCAAUCUUGGGUUCUCAUGUUACAAUCAACAUAUUAUUUAUUUCCUGUUGGUAUACAAUGCACACGUGGAUGCUAACUUAAGAAGAGAAAUCCACAAGCUCAGACCCUGUCAUCCCUGGGAAUAAUACACACAGACCUAGACCUCCCAGAAAACAUUACACACACACACACACACACACUAGCAUCCACACACAUAGCCCCUGACCUCCCAGGAUACAAAACACAGGCAGACCCUGGCCUCAAAGGAAACAACAUAAUCUCAGACCCUGUCAUCCCUGGGAACAAUACACACAGACCCAGACCUCCCAGGAAACAUUACACACACACACACACACACACACACACACUAGCAUCCACACACAUAGCCCCUGACCUCCCAGGAUACAAAACACAGGCAGAAGCUGGCUCAAAAGAAACACAAUUGCAGACUCUAGUAACCCAGGAAACUACACACACAGACUCAGGUUUCCCAGAAGUCAAAACACACAUAGACCCUGACUGCCCAAAUGACUCACACGGACUCUGGCUUCCUAGGGAGCAAAACAUGCAGACCCUGACUUUUCCAGAAACAAAACCCAUGCGGACCUUGGCUUCAAAGGAAAGCACACACAGAGAUUCUGGCCUCCCAGGAAACAGCACCUGCUCAGACUCCAUACCCCAGAAAAAAACCACAGACUGACAUAUGAAUAAAAGUAAACACAUGUGGAUGAUGGUUCCAUGGAAACAACAUAUGGGCAGACCCUGGCCCCACAGGAGACAGCAUCUGUAGCAGGAACAAGGCUCCCUGGAAUCAAAACUCCCAUAGUUCCUGACAUCCCAGGAAACAGACAUGCACAGACACUGGCCUCCAGAAAAAACACAAUCACAGACCCUGGCAUCCCAGGAAGCAGGAAUCAAAACACACGUCGACAUUUACCACCCAGGAAACGAAACAUAUACAGGCACUUGCAUCCAAGGAUGUAAUGCAUAUAGACUGUACUACCCAGGAAAAAACCACAGGCAGAUCCUGACCUCACUGGAAACAACACACAUGAAUACAACACACGCAAGAAUCUGGCCUCCCAGGAAACAAAAUACUCUUAGAUACCGUUCACCUCCAGGAACAACACAUGUGCAGAAUCUGGCAUCACAGGAAACAAAACAAAGACCUUGACCUCCCAAGAAAGAAGAAACAUGCAUACCCUGGCUUCGAAGUAAAAAACACAAGCACAGAAAGAAUACAAACAGAACCUGGCCUUCAGGAAACAAAAAACAUGCUCACACCGACAUCCCAUGUAAUCCCAUGUAACCAUACACAGGCAGCUCUGACCUCCCAAAAAACAACAGGUGCAGAAAAUAUGGCCAUCCAGGAAACUAAUCACACACACACCCUGAUAUACCAGGAAACAACUCACCCGGACCCUGACCUCUGCAGAUAAAAACAAACGCAGACCCGGUCUUCUCAGGAAACAACACGAGUCAGACUGUGGCAUCCUAGAAAACAGGAAAGACUCACAUUCUGAUCUCAAGUAACACAAGCACAGAACCUGGCCUUGCAGGAAACAGCACAUGGGCAGACUGUGGCUACCCAGGAAACUGAACACGUGCACAACCUGAUCUCCCAGGAAUCCACACAUGCAGACUGAGAGCUCUCAGGCAAAUAAACACGGAGACCUUGGCAUCCAAGGAAACAGUGCACAUACCAAUCAGGCUCCUAGGAAGCAAAACCUGAGCCGAUCCCAGAAAACAAUAUACAGAGACCCUCACCUCGCAGGAAUAAAACACAGGCAGACUCUGGCCUCAAGGAAAAAACAAACAAACAAACAGAGUUAUAGUUCCUGGUGUUGCAGGAAACAAUAUAAACAGAUUUAGGCCUCUCAGGUUCAAAACACCUGUAGAUGCUGUCUAGGACCUAGACAAGCCUGGGUUCUCUGGAAACAAAACACAUCCCCGGGAACCAAUGCAUGCACAGACACUGACACUUCAGGAAGCAACACAAAAACCCCGAACUCCCAGGAAACAAGAAACAUGCAGACCCAAGCACAGAACCGGGUGUCACAGGAAACAGCACAAACAGAAUCUGGCCUGAGAGAAAUGAAACACAGGCAUCUGCUUACCGCCCAGGUAAGAGCACACACACACACCACUGGCCUCCCAGGAAACAACACAUGAAGACCCUACCUUCCUAGGAAUCAACACACACGGAUUCUGGCCUCCCAGGAAAUAGAACACAUGGACACCCUGACCUCCCAAGAAACCACACACACCAGACCCUGGCACACCAGGAAACAACACACAUGCAGACAUUGCCGCCUGGCAAGCAAUAGCUGCCCAUACCCCAGCAUCCCAAGAGAGAACCCAUGCAGGCCCUGGCCUCCAAGGAAACAGCCUACACAGGUCCCAACCUCCCAGAAAUAAAAACAUAAGCAUGUGCACACUGGCCUCUCAGGAAACAACACCUUUUCAGACCCUGGCAUCCCAGGAAACAGAGUACAAACACACUGACCUCCCUGGAACAAAACACAUGCAAACACAGGCUUCCCAUGAAACACACGCAGACCUGGCAUCCUGGGAAGUAAAACAAAAAAACCCUGGCCUCCAGGGGAACAAGACAAUCACAGACCACUGCACUCUAGGAAUCAAGAAACACAGAUUUGGACCUCCCAGAAUCAAACCACACCUCGCUUUCGAUGUCCCAGGAAAAACCAAAGGCAGACCCUGGCUUUCCAGGAAAGGACACUCACGCAGGCCCAGGCCUCCAAGAAAACACACACACUCUGGCCUCCUGGGAAACAACACACAUGCAGACCCUGGCCUCUGGGGGAAACAGCUGCACAACACUGGCAUUCCAGGAAAUAAAACACACACAAACCCUGGCCUCCCCAAAAUCAACACAUGCGCACACCCCGGCAUGCCGGGAAACAACACUCACAGAACAAGGCCUCUCAGGAAACAAAACAAAUGCAGACACUGGCCCAGCAAACAACAGAUGUACAGACCCUGGGAUCCCAGGAAACAAAAUACAGACAUACCCUGGCCUCCAAGGAAACCACACACGAAUACUCUAGUCUACCCGGAACAAAACACACACAAACAGGCUUCCCAGGAAGCACACGUGUGUAGAUGCCAGCGUCCCAGGAAACAACACACAUGUAGACCUUGACCUUCCAGGAAACUAAGCACACUCAUACACAGGCUUCCCAGGAAAGAACACACCCACACACUGGACUUCCAGGAAACAACACACAUAGAUGCAGAACACACACACACACCCAAACGGAGACCCUGACCUCACAGAAAAGAACAGACGCAGACACUGGCAUCCCAGAAAACACAAACAGAGCCCGGUCUCCAAAGAUACAACACACUCACAGAUCCUUGCUUCCCAGAAACACACACAGACCUGGAACUCCCAGGAGACAAAGCCUAUGCAGACACUGGCUCCCUGGUCAAUGAGGCAUCUCAACAAUGAACACAUGCAAGCCCUGAACUCUCAGGAAACACAACACAGGCAGACCCUGCCUUCAAAGAGACAACACACACACACACACACACACACACCCACAAAACCUGGCAUCCCAGGAAACAAAAACACAUAUGCUGGCCUUUCUUCCUCCUGAAAAAACAGAGACCCUGACCUGCCAGGAAACCAAACACAAACAUAGCCCUUCUCCCCCGACAAAGAAACCAAGAAGACACACACAGAUCAUGGCCUCCCAGUAAAUAAGAACCAUUCUACACUGGUCUCCCAGGAAGCAACACACAUGCAGAUCCUGGCCCCUCAAAGCAACACCAGCACAGACCCUGGUAUCCCAGGAAAUAACACACACAUGGAUUCUUGUCUUUCAGGAAACAAACACGUGCAGAGCCUGACCUCCCAAAAACAACGCAGGUACAAACCCCGGCAUGCCAGGAAAUAGACACAGACCCACAGGGUCUGCACACAUGUUGUUUAGUAGAUACAAGCAUCUGCAUGUGGUUUGCUCCUGGGAAUUCAGGGUGUAUAUGUGUUGUUUCCUGGGAGGACAGGCUCUGUGUGUGUUUUGUUCUGGGUAGGUCAGUGUCAUUGUGUCUUGUUUCCUUGAUGCCUGGGUCUACACGUGUGCCUGGGAGUUCCAGGUCUGUAUGUGUUUUUUUUUUUUUCAAAGAUGCCAGGGUCUGUACGUGUGUUUCCUGGGGGUCCAGGGACUGUGCAGGUGCUGUUUCCUGGGAGAUCCAUAUCUGUGUGUAUUUUUAGCUGGGAAACCAUGAUUGUGCAUGUGUUGUUUUUUUGGAAGGGCCAUGCUUUGCAGGAACAGAACACAAGCAAAUGCUGGGCUCCAGUGAACAACACAGGCACGGACAUGGGGAUCCUAUGAAUCAGCACAGGCAGGCCCCUGACCUACCAGGAAACAAAAUGCAGGCAGACCCUGGCUGUCGAGGGAAAAACACAACCACAGACCCUGGGAUUACAGAGACAAUAUAAACAGACUCACACUUCCCAGGAUCAAAGCAAACGUAGGCCCUGACUCCCAGGAAACCACACACACACACAGACCCUGUUCCCCCUGGAAACAACACACAUGCGGACAAGGGCAUCACAGGAAACAACACACACAAUGACCCUGACCUCCCAGGAAACAAGAAACAGACAUACUCUGGCCUCAAAGUUAACAACAUCAGCACAGUAGCCGGCACCACAGGAAACAGCACAGAAAUCAGGCCUGAAAGGGAGCAAAACACGUGACACCUUUACCUCCCAGGUAACAGCACACAUGCAGACCUGAGUCACCAAGGAAACUAAAAACCGGUACACCCUGCUCUCCCAUGAAGCGAUACCCGUGGGCCACGACCUCCCAGAAAAAAAACAACAUACAGAUUGUGACCUCCCAGUAAACUACACACAUGACACCACCACCUCCUAGGAAAUAAUACCUGUGCAGUAACUCGGGAAACAACACACACAGGAGAUAAGACACAUGAAAACCCUGACCCUCCUGGAAACAACACACAGACCCUUGCAUCCAAGGAAACAACCUACACAGAUCCAGACCUCCAAGGAAUAAAAAGUAACACAUAGACACUGACCUCUCAGAAAACAACACAUGAGCAGACACUGACAUCCCAUGAAACAGCAUUGAAGAUCCUGACCUCCCCAGAACAAGAUAACACAAACCCAGGCUUCUCAGGAUGACCUUGGCCUCCAGGGAAACAUCAGCCACAGACCAUUGCUUCUCAGGAAGCAGCAAACACGGAUCCAGGCCUCCUAGAAAUCAAAACACAUUUAAGCCUUGACCUCCCAGGAAAAAAACAUGCAUAGACCCUAGCAUCCCAGAAGACACACACUCAGACCCUGAUCUCCCAACAAACAAAACACACGCACACCCUGCCUUCCAAGGAAACAACACACACAAACACACACGCGACCUGGAAUCCAGAGAAAACACUGAGGUCUUGACUGCCCAGGAAACUAUAAAUGCAGACCUGGCCUCCCAAGAAACAGCACACACAGAGAUCAUGGCUCCCCAGAAAGCAAGAAACAUGCACACACUGGCCUCAAAGGAACAACACACACAAGACACCACUGUCAUCCCAGUAAACAACACACAUACAGACCCUGACCUGACAGGAAGUAACACCUGCAUAGAUCCUGGCUUUCCAGGAAACAAGAUGCACAGCUUCAUCUCCCAGGAAACACAAUACAUAGAUUUGGACCUCCCAGGAAACAUAAUACACACAGACCCUGGCCUCCCAGAAACAACACAUUCAUAGACUCUGGCCUCUAAGAAAAAACACAACCACAGAUCCUGGAAUUCCUGGAAACAACAUAAACAGAUUCAAGUCUCUCAGGGUUCAAAACACAUGUAGACUCUGAUCUCCCAGAAAACAACACACAUACAGUCCCUGUCUUUCAAGAAAACAACACACGAAUUCUGGGCAGGAACCAAUAUAAACAUGCAGAUCCUGACCACUCAUGAAAAUCACAGGUGCAGACCAUAGCAUCUGAGGAAACAACACAGACCCAGGCCUCUCCUAAAUAACACACACAACUCAGCCUUCCCAGGAAAUGACACGUGGAUAGUCUGAGUAUCCAGGAAACAAAACACAAGAUGAACCUGGUUUUCCAGGGAACAACACAAUCAAUAGUGUCCUGGGAUAUUGUUGCCAUGGAUUCGUUUCCGAGAGGAGGAGUGUGGUGGGGGGAAAGAGGCGCGGAGUCACCACACAGACCCCGGAAACCAGGUGAAAGCAGGCCUGAGGCAAGCAGCCCGCAGACUCAUUUAUUUCAGGUGCUACAGCUGCUUAUAUAGCCAAGGCAGCCAAUCCGGUCAAGGGGCGGUCUAUGCCCUAACCAAUCACAGCCUGUUGCCAGGCAGUUUCCGAAACCAUCCAAUCACGGCCUGUUGUCAGUCAGGCUCUACUGUCAUGUGGUUUCCGAAGCCAUCCAGUCAUGGCCUGUUGCCAGGCAGUUUCUGUUGCCAGUAGCCAUCUUGGCAUGACCUUCUCAUUCCACCACAUUUCCCCCUUUUCGUUUAUUUCAAAGAUAGAAAAACAAUCAUAAGCCCCCAGACCCACAGCUUGCUUUGACUGAGGUCCUUUUCACUAUCAAUUUUCUUAGUUUUGAUUCCCAAGGGAUCAGCCCAGCUUAUAAACACUGGGGAUCCUUUCCAUCCCAGACCCCAGCCCCUAUGGUUAAGUGGAAAGACCCCCUGACAGGAGAAUGGAAGGGACCACCACUCUGCUAACCAAGGGUCGAGGAUAUGCUUGUGUCUUUCCAGAAAAUGCAGAACAGCCCAUUUGGGUACCAGCCAGAAACAUCAAGCCUGCAAAUGACAGCCAACCAGAACCAGCUGAACAAGACUGAGAGUCUGCCUUGUUAGCGGACGCACCUGCCCCAUCAUCCUACCCUGAGAAACUGCCCAUAGCCACAUCCAUUACUACUUUAUACCCCACUAGCUCUGGUCAGCCACUCAAAUGGCCCACAGCCUGCGUGUGGUCACUCCAUUCCUGAUUACCACUAUUCUUCAUUCCUACCCCCAUCUGAGCAAGCACUCCUGUGGUCUCCUGUUUUGAGCACUGGUUAGUCAAUGACGAGUAAGAUCCCCUGGGGGACAACCUAAGACAGGCACAGCUGCGUAUGGAGACCACAUGGAAACGGGGUCAACAAUGGUGUGACCAAGAAUCAUGCCUCCCGUUGCUCAAAAAUAAACAAAAAGGGGGAAAUGUGGUGGAAUGAGAAGGCCAUGCCAAGAUGGCUACUGGCAACAGAAACUGCCUGGCAACAGGCCAUGACUGGAUGGCUUCGGAAACCACAUGACAACAGAGCCUGACUGACAACAGGCUGUGAUUGGAUGGUUUCAGAAACUGCCUGGCAACAGGCUGUGAUUGGUUAGGGCAUAGACCGCCCCUUGACCGGAUUGGCUGCCUUGGCUAUAUAAGCAGCUGUAGCACCUGAAAUAAAUGAGUCUGCGGGCUGCUUGCCUCAGGCCUGCUUUCACCUGGUUUCCGGGGUCUGUGUGGUGACUCCGCGCCUCUUUCCCCCCAGCACGCUCCUCCUCUCAGAAACGAAUCCACCUCAACAGGAUAUGGCAACAUACACAGAUUCAGGCUGCCCAGAAAUCAAAACAGAUGUAGAACGAACCUUCCAGGAAACAAAACACAGGCAGACACUGGCUUCCUGGGAAAGAACACACAGCCAGUAGCCUCUCAGGAAACAACAGACAACAACCCCUGGCAUCUGAGGAAACAGCCGAGACAAGUUCUGGCAUCCCCCAUAAAGCACACAGAGACCCUGACCUCCUAGUAAGCAACAUACAUACACAGCGUGGCUCCAGGGAAACAACACCCACAGACCCUGGCCCCCCAGGAGACCACAAACAAUACAGCGUCCUCCCCGGGAGUGACACCUGCAUGGAUGCUGGAAUCCUAGGUCACAGAACACCCUGCUUCCCCAUUUUCUGGGACCGCUGCUGCCAUGUAUCCACAUAUCUGCCCACUGCUGCCAUGUCUCUGUGGAAUGAACUAACCACAGCUACGUCUCUGCCCGUUGUUGCUGUGUCUCCAAGCAAUUGCCCAACCGCUGCUCUGUCUCCAUAUCAUCAGCUGCCUCAUGGUUACUUCUCAAAUAUUCUGCACCUGCUGUCAUGUCUCCAUGGAAUAGAUCACCCACCGUGAUGUCUCCAUAUCAUGGUCCACAUGCCUGUCUAUUCUCUGCCAACUGCUUCCGUGUCUCAGUACCCUGUGCUACCUCCUGCCAUAUCUUUAGAUUAUGGGUCACGUUAUGCUUUGUCUCCCUAUCAGGAGCCUCUUGCGCCCUGUCACAAUAUCUGACUACUGCUGCCAUGUUUCUGUGUCAUGGGCUAUGUGCUCCCAUUACUCUAGAUCACGUGCCAACUGCUUCCAUGCCUCCGUGUUACGGGCCACUGGACUCACUGCAUCUGGAUCGUGUGUCUCCUGCUGCCUCCAAUCAGUCACCCAAUACCAUGCACCAUAAUAUGGGGCACCUCCUGUCAUUUCACCGUAACAUCUGCCACCUGCUGCCAUAUCUACAAAAGAGCCAGGGGACAUGUUUUCUCCCCAUCAUGAUUCUGUGUCUGCCACCUGCUGCCUUUUCUACUAUUAUGGGACAGAUGUCAUUUUACCUGCCUCUCUUGGGUCUCUGCUGCACAGGCACUGACUAUCCAUCCACUGCUGCCGUGUCUCCAUGUCAGGAGCCAACUGCUGCCAUGUUGAAGACAUUGUGCCACCUGCUGCUGUGUGUGCGUUUCCUGGCCCACCUCUGCCAUGUCUCCGUGCCAUUGGCCACCAUCUUCCAUGGUUGCAUAUUAAAGGUGACCUUACACCUCAUCUUACUGUCAUGUGACUCCUGCUGCAGAUUUCCCUUCAUCUGCCAACAGCAUCUUCCAAUUGUGGACCACCUGCUGCCAUCUCUCCAUUUCGCCUGCCACCUGCUCCCGUGUCUCCAUAUGAGCACCUGAAGCCCACUGCUGCCAUGUCUCCAUGGAUUCAACUAACUACUGCCACAUCUCUGUCAAUCUGCCCACUGAUGCUGUGUGUCCAGAUGACUGCCCAGCUGCUGCUGUGUCCAUAUCAUCAGCCACUUCUUCAAUGUAUUCUGCCACCUGCUGCCAUGCCUCCUUGUAAUUGGCAACCUGCCGCCCUGUUUUGCUGUCAUGAGAAAACAUGCAUUCCUGAUUGUAUUCUCUGCUACUUGUGGCCAGACCUGCACAUCAUGAGCCACCUGUCAUCUCUCUCCUGGUCUGAGGCCACCUCCUGCGAUGUCUCCCUAUAAUGUCCCACUGCUUCUGGGGCUCCAUAUCUCAGACUACCUGCUGUGAGAUCUCUAGAUCAUAGGCAUCCUGUUGCCUUGUCUUCCUGUCUUGUGCCACUGCUUCUGGGUCUCUGUAUCCCGAGCUGUCUGCUGGUGUGUGUCUUGUGUCAUGUCCCACCUCUAGCUACGUCUCUGUAUCAUCUGUCCCUGCUUCGUGGUUGCAGAUCACAGGCAACCUGUGGCCCAGUCUCACUAACAUGAGCCUUCUGCUGCCUGCCUCCCUAUAUCUUCAAACUUCUGCAGAGCCUCUGAACAUGGGGCACCUACUUCUGAUUCUCCACCUUGUCUGCCACAUGCCACCACGUGUCCACUUCAAUGGCUACCUGAUGCCUUACCACCACCUCAUGGGUAGCAGCCACUGUGUAUCCACGCAUCUGCCCACUGCUGCCGUGUCUCCAUGUAAUCAAAUAACUGCUGCUAUGCCUCUGUCAAUCUGCUCUCUGCUGCCAUGUCUCUAUAGCCACCUGGAGCACUGUUGACCUGUAUGGGUCUCCUGCUGCAAUGACUUAGUAUGUUUGACACCUGCUACAGUGUCUCUAUAUCAUGGGCCAUGUUAUGUCCUGCCUCUCUGUCAUGGACAUGCUGUUGUCACGGAUCACCAUACCUACCCACGGGUACCAGGUCUCUAUGGAAUGGACUGACUGCUGCCAUGUCUCUGUCCAUCUCUCCACUGCUGCUGUGUCUCCAUGGAACUGCCAGCUGCCACCAUGCAUUACUCAAUAUAUUCUGCCACCUGCCCCU
Non-coding RNA from Oryctolagus cuniculus (rabbit), 12339 nucleotides. The record is from RefSeq and is a predicted model, not a curated record. NCBI's taxonomy places the organism in Eukaryota, Metazoa, Chordata, Mammalia, Lagomorpha, Leporidae.